RNAcentral lists this ribosomal RNA (438 nucleotides) under Triticum aestivum (bread wheat). RNAcentral's name for it is "partial small subunit ribosomal RNA". Lineage: Eukaryota; Viridiplantae; Streptophyta; Magnoliopsida; Poales; Poaceae. The record is from RNAcentral.
AUGGCCGCCACCUGCCGCUUCGCCGCGCCACUGGGUCUCGCCCCGCUGCCUCGCAGCUGCGCCGGCGCCAAGAGCGUCGCUUUCUCGAUAGGCACCACCAAGGUAGCUACACGGACACGGAGCGUCGCGGUGAGGGCGGGCGACGGCUCGGCGGAGACGCCGGAAAUCCUCAAGGCUGCGCAGGACGCGUGGGCAAAAGUUGAGGACAAGUACGCCGUGGCCACCAUUGGCGUCGCCGGGCUCGUCGCGCUCUGGACAGCAGUGGGGGCGCUCAAGUCCAUUGACAAGCUUCCUAUCUUGCCUGGUGUGUUGGAGCUCGUUGGAAUCGGGUACACAGGAUGGUUCACAUAUCGCAACCUCAUCUUUCAGCCAGACAGGGAAACUCUGAUCAGCAACAUCAAGAGCACUUACAACGAAAUCACUGGGAGCAGCAGCUAA